UACGUAGGCAGCGAGCGUUGUUCGGAGUUAUUGGGCGUAAAGGGCGCGUAGGCGGCUUUUCAAGUGACGGGUGAAAUCCCUCGGCUUAACCGAGGAACUGCCUGUCAGACUGGAAGGCUUGAGACCGGGAGAGGUGAGUGGAAUUCCCAGUGUAGCGGUGAAAUGCGUAGAUAUUGGGAGGAACACCAGUGGCGAAGGCGGCUCACUGGACCGGAACUGACGCUGAGGCGCGAAAGCGUGGGGAGCAAACAGG
Molecule: ribosomal RNA, 253 nt
Filed under: uncultured bacterium
Lineage: Bacteria
Description: partial 16S ribosomal RNA
Rfam family: Bacterial small subunit ribosomal RNA
Source: RNAcentral